Molecule: ribosomal RNA, 207 nt
Filed under: uncultured bacterium
Lineage: Bacteria
Description: partial 16S ribosomal RNA
Rfam family: Bacterial small subunit ribosomal RNA
Source: RNAcentral
CUCGUAGGCGGUUCGGUUAGUCGGGUGUGAAAACUCUGGGCUCAACCCAGAGACGCCACCCGAUACUGCUGUGACUAGAGUGCGGUAGGGGAGCGGGGAAUUCCUGGUGUAGCGGUGAAAUGCGCAGAUAUCAGGAGGAACACCAGUGGCGAAGGCGCCGCUCUGGGCCGUGACUGACGCUGAGGAGCGAAAGCGUGGUAGCAAACA